Molecule: transfer RNA, 72 nt
Filed under: Capra hircus (goat)
Lineage: Eukaryota; Metazoa; Chordata; Mammalia; Artiodactyla; Bovidae
Also listed under: 1 other name
Rfam family: tRNA
About the family: Transfer RNA (tRNA) molecules are approximately 80 nucleotides in length. Their secondary structure includes four short double-helical elements and three loops (D, anti-codon, and T loops).
Source: Rfam by way of RNAcentral
UCCCUGAUAGCUCAGUUGGUAAAGAAUCUGCCUGCAAUGCAGGAGACCCUGGUUUGAUUCCCGGGUCGGGAA